RNAcentral lists this long non-coding RNA (1032 nucleotides) under Oryzias sinensis (Chinese medaka). RNAcentral's name for it is "lncRNA (ENSOSIG00000008144.1)". Lineage: Eukaryota; Metazoa; Chordata; Actinopteri; Beloniformes; Adrianichthyidae. The record is from RNAcentral.
AGACCUGUCUGUAACACAUAGACACAUGAACCGUAUAUAUUUUUACACGUAAUUUCUCCUCAAGUGCCCUGCCCUCCAAACAACUUGACAUUGUUGCGGGAAUGUUGGAGCAAUGCCAUCAUCUUCUCCUGGAACCUUACAAACGGUGCUGACUACAACCUGGCCAAGGCAGUGGACUCAAAGGUAUUCAGCAACUGAUUAUCCAAAAAAAUCAAAAUUUUCUUCUGCUGCAAAGUUUACCUGUGAAGUAUUAAAAAAUGCUAUUUAUAUGAUAAGAUAACAUGUCAGCUCAAAUAUGACAAGAAUCUGCCAAAACUCAUCUUCACUUUUAUUUAAGCUAUAAUUCUGUUCAUGUGAUAACUUUGUCUGUGAUGUACAAAUUAGUGUUUCAGAUAUAAAUUGCUUCUGGCAGCUACUAAGUUGGAUUUCAAUUUUAGUUUAGGAAAAAAUGCAAAAGUGCAAAUUCUUUACUCGGCUUUUAUUAUCUUUUAAAAUUUCUUCUUCAGGGAAAUGUCCAAACCUGCCUGACUAGGGAAAACUCCUGCUAUUUCACAAAUACACAAUGUGGAAUGCGCUAUGUUUUCACUGUCUCUACAACCUCUGGGUCUUGCCAAAGCGACUUUAGCGCAGCUGUUGGUGUCCGCACAGCACCCUGUAUGCCCAGAAAUCUCCAAACGUACGGCAACUGCAGCACAGGUACUCUGCUCAGCACAUGGGACCACGCUGAAGGAGCCCUGCGCUACAACGUGACGGCACAGGGCAACUUCCAAAACAGCAUUUACUCCUGCAGCUCACAGUCCAACAGCUGUGCUAUGGCAGGCCUGCAGUGCGGGGAAAGCCUAACCAUCUCAAUCAAGUCCUCUGACAAUGAAUGUGACAGUCCACCCACGCUUGGGCUUCCUGCCGAGACAGGUAAGAAAGACCUGGGUGAUAGAUGUGCGGUAAAAGAAAGAAAUGCCAUGUACAGUAAAAAAAACACAAAACAUAAUUUACACAAAAAAAUAUUUUUAUAUUAUAAAAGAAUAGUUUUUG